This 495-nucleotide ribosomal RNA is filed under the name Triticum aestivum (bread wheat). RNAcentral describes it as "partial small subunit ribosomal RNA". The record is from RNAcentral. Lineage: Eukaryota; Viridiplantae; Streptophyta; Magnoliopsida; Poales; Poaceae.
AUGUUUGGAGGCGAUCCUGCUUUGGUCUCAUCCUAUUGGAAUUCAGUAAGAUCAUAUCAUCGAAGGAUUGUUAACAGCCGGGACCUCAUAUUCAGAAAUAACAAGGUCAUCCAUUUUAUUGGUUUGUGCACACCUUCUGCCUGCAAGUUGUUUUCAGAAAUUAUUUCUAGAUACCUCCAUGAAGUCUCCCAUGUUGACCAGCAAGGAACGAGGGUUGGUCGGGACGCCGUACCACACGCCGUCUCUGAGAACCUGCAGCGCAGGAACAUCGUUGUCCACGAGAAGAGUCGCCAGAACGCCGUCGUCCGAGUGAGCCUUGAAGCCAAGGACGAUAUCAGGUGUCGGACAUGGCACGUAGUGGUUGAUCCUAACAGUUGUGGGAGCCUUGUCGCUAAAUUGGUUAAGGAAGUAAUCUUCCUCAAGCUCCAGAAGCCUGGCCAUUGUCCCAAGGAUAAUGUGUUUUAUCCUCUUGCUUUUUGCUGUGUACUCUUGUAG